UUUAAAAAGCUUCAAACUGGGAUUAGAUACCCCACUAUGCCCAGCCUCAAACUAUGACUCAAUACAAAACACUUCCGCCGGGGAACUACGAGCUCCAGCUUAAAACCCAAAGGACUUGGCGGUGCCCCACCCACCUAGAGGAGCCUGUUCUAUAAUCGAUAACCCCCGCUUAACCUCACCACUUCUUGCCAAUACCGCCUAUAUACCACCGUCGCCAGCCCACCCCGUGAGGGAAUAAGUAGGCACAAUGAUCACCACCAAAACGUCAGGUCAAGGUGUAGCGUAUGAAGUGGAAAGAAAUGGGCUACAUUCUCUAAUCUAGAGCACACGAAAAAUCAUAAGAAAUUAGAUUGGAAGGAGGAUUUAGUAGUAAAAAGAAACAAUAGUGUUCUUUUUAAAUUGGCCCUGGGGCGCGCACACACCGCCCGUCACCCUCUGCAGUCAAAAA
Molecule: ribosomal RNA, 448 nt
Filed under: Bombina fortinuptialis (large-spined bell toad)
Lineage: Eukaryota; Metazoa; Chordata; Amphibia; Anura; Bombinatoridae
Description: partial 12S ribosomal RNA
Rfam family: Bacterial small subunit ribosomal RNA
Source: RNAcentral